This 718-nucleotide ribosomal RNA is filed under the name Pseudomonas brassicacearum subsp. brassicacearum. RNAcentral's name for it is "partial 16S ribosomal RNA". It matches the Rfam family "Bacterial small subunit ribosomal RNA", at positions 12 to 712 of the family's 1533-position model. Lineage: Bacteria; Pseudomonadati; Pseudomonadota; Gammaproteobacteria; Pseudomonadales; Pseudomonadaceae. The record is from RNAcentral.
UUUUACCCNNGCUCAGGAUUAAACGGUGGGGGGCAGGCCUAACAACAUGCAAGUUGAGCGGGGAGAGAGGUGCUUGCACCUCUUGAAGAGCGGCGGACGGGGUGAAGUAAAGCCUAGGAAAUCUGCCUGGUAAGGGGGGAAAAACGCUCGGAAAACGGACCGCUAAUACCGCAUACGUCUUACGGGAGAAAAGCAGGGGACCUUCGGGGCCUUGCGCUAUCAGAUNNGCCUAGGUCGGAUUAGCUAGUUGGUGGGGUAAUGGCUCACCAAGGGGACGAUCCGUAANUGGUUUGAGAGGAUGAUCAGUCACACUGGAACUGAGACACGGUCCAGACUCCUACGGGAGGCANCAGUGGGGAAUAUUGGACAAUGGGCGAAAGCNUGAUCCAGCCAUGCCGCGUGUGUGAAGAAGGUCUUNGGAUUGUAAAGCANUNCCCCUNGGGAGGAAGGGCNUUAACCUAAUACGUUAGUGUUUUGACGUUACCGACAGAAUAAGCACCGGCUAACUCUGUGCCAGCAGCCGCGGUAAUACAGAGGGUGCAAGCGUUAAUCGGAAUUACUGGGCGUAAAGCGCGCGUAGGUGGUUCGUUAAGUUGGAUGUGAAAGCCCCGGGCUCAACCUGGGAACUGCNUUCAAAACUGUCGAGCUAGAGUAUGGUAGAGGGUGGUGGAAUUUCCUGUGUNGCGGUGAAAUGNGUANNNAUNGGAAGGAACACCAG